Molecule: ribosomal RNA, 443 nt
Filed under: uncultured bacterium
Lineage: Bacteria
Description: partial 16S ribosomal RNA
Rfam family: Bacterial small subunit ribosomal RNA
Source: RNAcentral
CCUACGGGGGGCAGCAGUGGGGAAUAUUGGGCAAUGGGCGCAAGCCUUACCCAGCAAUACCGCGUGAGUGAAGAAGGUCUUCGGAUUGUAAAGCUCUUUGAACAGGGACGAACAGAUGACGGUACCUGAAGAACAAGCCCCGGCUAAAUACGUGCCAGCAGCCGCGGUCAAACGUACGGGGCGAGUGUUGUCCGGAAUGACUGGGCGUAAAGGGUGCGUAGGCGGGAUAAUAAGUUAGAAGUGAAAUACCCAGGGCUUAACUCGGGUGCUGCUUCUAAGACUGUUGAGCUUGAGUGGGGGAGAGGUUAAUGGAAUUCCUAGUGUAGCGGUGGAAUGCGUAGAUAUUAGGAGGAACACCAGAGGCGAAGGCGAUUAACUGGACCGUAACUGACGCUGAGGCACGAAAGUGUGGGUAGCAAACAGGAUUAGAUACCCCUGUAGUC